This 1298-nucleotide ribosomal RNA is filed under the name Salmonella enterica. RNAcentral describes it as "partial 23S ribosomal RNA". It matches the Rfam family "Bacterial large subunit ribosomal RNA", at positions 1 to 1224 of the family's 2925-position model. The record is from RNAcentral. Lineage: Bacteria; Pseudomonadati; Pseudomonadota; Gammaproteobacteria; Enterobacterales; Enterobacteriaceae.
GGGUUGUGAGGUUAAGCGACUAAGCGUACACGGUGGAUGCCCUGGCAGUCAGAGGCGAUGAAGGGCGUGCUAAUCUGCGAUAAGCGCCGGUAAGGUGAUAUGAACCGUUAUAACCGGCGAUACCCGAAUGGGGAAACCCAGUGUGAUUCGUCACACUAUCAUUAACUGAAUCCAUAGGUUAAUGAGGCGAACCGGGGGAACUGAAACAUCUAAGUACCCCGAGGAAAAGAAAUCAACCGAGAUUCCCCCAGUAGCGGCGAGCGAACGGGGAGGAGCCCAGAGCCUGAAUCAGCAUGUGUGUUAGUGGAAGCGUCUGGAAAGGCGCGCGAUACAGGGUGACAGCCCCGUACACAAAAGCGAAUAUGCUGUGAGCUCGAUGAGUAGGGCGGGACACGUGGUAUCCUGUCUGAAUAUGGGGGGACCAUCCUCCAAGGCUAAAUACUCCUGACUGACCGAUAGUGAACCAGUACCGUGAGGGAAAGGCGAAAAGAACCCCGGCGAGGGGAGUGAAAAAGAACCUGAAACCGUGUACGUACAAGCAGUGGGAGCCCCACCACCAAAGCAUUCUCUGGUGUUGAAGGCCCUGCAAAGCAGCAUCGCGGUGGCGGAGCGUCGUUUGCGACGCCCAACACACAAAACAAGCGGUGAGUGCUUUGGGGUGGGGUGACUGCGUACCUUUUGUAUAAUGGGUCAGCGACUUAUAUUCUGUAGCAAGGUUAACCGCAUAGGGGAGCCGAAGGGAAACCGAGUCUUAACCGGGCGUUAAGUUGCAGGGUAUAGACCCGAAACCCGGUGAUCUAGCCAUGGGCAGGUUGAAGGUUGGGUAACACUAACUGGAGGACCGAACCGACUAAUGUUGAAAAAUUAGCGGAUGACCUGUGGCUGGGGGUGAAAGGCCAAUCAAACCGGGAGAUAGCUGGUUCUCCCCGAAAGCUAUUUAGGUAGCGCCUCGUGAACUCAUCUCCGGGGGUAGAGCACUGUUUCGGCUAGGGGGUCAUCCCGACUUACCAACCCGAUGCAAACUGCGAAUACCGGAGAAUGUUAUCACGGGAGACACACGGCGGGUGCUAACGUCCGUCGUGAAGAGGGAAACAACCCAGACCGCCAGCUAAGGUCCCAAAGUCAUGGUUAAGUGGGAAACGAUGUGGGAAGGCCCAGACAGCCAGGAUGUUGGCUUAGAAGCAGCCAUCAUUUAAAGAAAGCGUAAUAGCUCACUGGUCGAGUCGGCCUGCGCGGAAGAUGUAACGGGGCUAAACCAUGCACCGAAGCUGCGGCAGCGAACGUAUCACUUAAAGCGA